This 253-nucleotide ribosomal RNA is filed under the name uncultured bacterium. Its description in RNAcentral is "partial 16S ribosomal RNA". It matches the Rfam family "Bacterial small subunit ribosomal RNA", at positions 524 to 776 of the family's 1533-position model. The record is from RNAcentral.
UACGGAGGGGGCGAGCGUUAUUCGGGAUCAUUGGGCGUAAAGGGCGCGUAGGCGGCCCCGUAAGUCUUGGGUGAAAGCCCUCGGCUCAACCGAGAAAUUGCCUUGGAUACUGCGGGGCUCGAGGCUGGAAGAGGGCAGUGGAAUUCCCGGUGUAGCGGUGAAAUGCGUAGAUAUCGGAAGGAACAUCAGUGGCGAAGGCGACUUCCUGGACCAAUACUGACACUCAGGUGCGAAAGCGUGGGGAGCAAACAGG